Long non-coding RNA from Brachypodium distachyon (stiff brome), 1655 nucleotides. RefSeq lists it as uncharacterized. NCBI's taxonomy places the organism in Eukaryota, Viridiplantae, Streptophyta, Magnoliopsida, Poales, Poaceae. The transcript is spliced from 5 exons. The record is from RefSeq and is a predicted model, not a curated record.
UCUUAUUUAAUUCCUCCACCUCGCGUGCUCCCCCCUCCAGCCAGGUGAGCUUCUACCAAACCUUCUCCCCCUCCGCUCUAGCACGCUGCGCCUCCUCUCUGCUUCACCCUGCUCUUGACCGCCAGUCCCUCUCCACCCUGGGCGACAAGACCGAUCACACCCGCGUGGACGCACACCUGAAGCAAGUACUCCCAUGGUCCAGGUGGACUCUCAGUUGCUGCUGGUGGAGGCUUCCCAAGUUCCCAGAGCCCCGGUCCGUGAACUGGGAUGGCAGUUUGGGUAAUCAUGGGACUGCCGUCUCUGCUUGCUGGUUAUUGAACUGCUUCUGCUUCUUGCUGUUUUUCUGAAAGAUUUCAAAGGUAUAGCUUUAUUUUCUUUGAUGUUGGCUUUGGGUGGCUUAUUCUUGUAGCUCUAAUUUCAGAGGUUUGUUCUAAUAGAGGGUCAACAUUGUGUUUACUUGCCUUGCAUAGGCUUGUUGGGUGUCCUUACCCCCUAUACCGUUAUUCUAGCCUCAGCUGCUGCUAGCUGCCGUCUCUCCUAUUUGUCUUACUUAAUGGAGCUGUAUAAUUAUGAUUGUUGAAGUCCAAAAUUUAAGUCUCUUGGCUCUUUUCACGCUUUCUCACAAACAGAUUAAAAAAUAGAUUUUUUUCUUGAAGUUUGGACAAACCAUUGCUUCGUCUGGUGUCUACAAUACAUAUGACUCAUACAGUACUAAUUUACCAGAUCGGAAAAAAUUUAUGUUGAAAAGAAAAAUUUAUAGAUCCAGUGUCACAUUCUGUAAAAAUUUAUGAUACAUGUAUAGGAUGCACUCAAUGUGUACGAGCUUGUCCAACAGAUGUAUUAGAAAUGAUACCCUGGGAUGGAUGUAAAGCCAAGCAAAUUGCUUCCGCGCCGAGAACCGAAGAUUGUGUGGGUUGUAAGAGAUGCGAAUCCGCCUGUCCGACAGAUUUUUUAAGUGUCAGGUGACGAUGGUGUUGAGAUUGGCUUGCCUGACAUUGUUGGUGGCCCAGCUGCUGCAAAGAUUUUCAAUUAAGCAAGCGUUACAUGUUGCAGCAGGUUAUGGAUAAGCUCUCAGUCCCUGCACAAGAGAUGCCCACGUUGAUGGUACUGAUGGUGCGUACAUGGACACCGUUCCUCCAGAGCUCCCACCCCAUGAAGGUCAUCCUGUUCUGCAAUAUAGGACCUUCUAUGGCGAUGACAGUCUCGCCACUGAUGAGGCGCUACAAAGCGCCAGUGCUGCUGUGUUGGCGUAUCUCCAGGCAGUCGAUGGUGAGAGUUAAGCGGUGGGAACUAUUGAUGCAUAUCUGCUCAAUGUCAUUGCGUUCUGAAGCGUGAGAGAAGGAUUUGAUCCUUUGAAGACCAUCAAGAAGAGAAGACGGAACAAUAGCAAAAGUUAUGCGGACCCAAUUUUCCAUUCCCAGAACACUCCCUGCAUUGGAGACACAAAAGUAAUUUGGCUGUGUAAGAAGCUGCAGUUAUAUCAAUAAAAGAUUAAGUGGAACACUCCCUGUAAGAAGCAGCAAAUAUCAUGCUUAUAUAAAAGAUUAAGUCGAACGUUAUAAAAUAUAAAUCUCCCAUGUUUCCACGGCAACAUAUCCCAAUCCGUUUCUACGCUAUGUUGACUACAACUCCUAAUACUAAAGCUAUGGUUCAUA